CAAUAGCGUAUAUUAAAGUUGUUGCGGUUAAAAAGCUCGUAGUUGGAUUUCUGCCGAGGACGACCGGUCCGCCCUCCGGGUGAGUAUCUGGUUUGGCCUGGGCAUCUUCUUGGAGAACGUAGCUGCACUUGACUGUGUGGUGCGGUGUCCAGGACUUUUACUUUGAGGAAAUUAGAGUGUUUCAAGCAGGCACACGCCUUGAAUACAUUAGCAUGGAAUAAUAAGAUAGGACCUCGGUUCUAUUUUGUUGGUUUCUAGAGCUGAGGUAAUGAUUAAUAGGGAUAGUUGGGGGCAUUCGUAUUUAACUGUCAGAGGUGAAAUUCUUGGAUUUGUUAAAGACGAACUAGUGCGAAAGCAUUUGCCAAGGAUGUUUUCAUUGA
This 380-nucleotide ribosomal RNA is filed under the name uncultured eukaryote. RNAcentral's name for it is "partial 18S ribosomal RNA". It matches the Rfam family "Eukaryotic small subunit ribosomal RNA", at positions 592 to 976 of the family's 1831-position model. The record is from RNAcentral.